RNAcentral lists this ribosomal RNA (738 nucleotides) under uncultured Bacillus sp. RNAcentral describes it as "bacterial SSU rRNA". It matches the Rfam family "Bacterial small subunit ribosomal RNA", at positions 28 to 742 of the family's 1533-position model. Lineage: Bacteria; Bacillati; Bacillota; Bacilli; Caryophanales; Bacillaceae. The record is from RNAcentral.
GACGAACGCUGGCGGCGUGCCUAAUACAUGCAAGUCGAGCGGACUGAUGGGAGCUUGCUCCCUGAGGUUAGCGGCGGACGGGUGAGUAACACGUGGGCAACCUACCUGUAAGACUGGGAUAACUCCGGGAAACCGGGGCUAAUACCGGAUAACCCGUUCCACCUCAUGGUGGACGCGGCAAAAGAUGGCCUCUGGCUAUCACUUACAGAUGGGCCCGCGGCGCAUUAGCUAGUUGGUAAGGUAACGGCUUACCAAGGCGACCGAUGCGUAGCCGACCUGAGAGGGUGAUCGGCCACACUGGGACUGAGACACGGCCCAGCACUCCUACGGGAGGCAGCAGUAGGGAAUCUUCCGCAAUGGACGAAAGUCUGACGGAGCAACGCCGCGUGGAGUGAUGAAGGUUUUCGGAUCGUAAAGCUCUGUUGUUAGGGAAGAACAAGUGCCGUUUGAAUAAGGCGGCACCUUGACGGUACCUAACCAGAAAGCCACGGCUAACUACGUGCCAGCAGCCGCGGUAAUACGUAGGUGGCAAGCGCUGUCCGGAAUUAUUGGGCGUAAAGCGCGCGCAGGCGGUUUCUUAAGUCUGAUGUGAAAGCCCCCGGCUCAACCGGGGGAGGGUCAUUGGAAACUGGGGAACUUGAGUGCAGAAGAGGAGAGUGGAAUUCCACGUGUAGCGGUGAAAUGCGUAGAUAUGUGGAGGAACACCAGUGGCGAAGGCGACUCUCUGGUCUGUAACUG